Molecule: long non-coding RNA, 319 nt
Organism: Ictalurus punctatus (channel catfish)
Lineage: Eukaryota; Metazoa; Chordata; Actinopteri; Siluriformes; Ictaluridae
Source: Ensembl
UGUAAAUGUAAUGUAAUGUAAAUGUAGUGUAGUGUAAAUGUAAUGUAAUGUAGUGUAAAUGUAAUGUAGUGUAAAUGUAGUGUAGUGUAAAUGUAGUGUAAAUGUAAUUGUAGUGUAAAUGUAAUGUAAUGUAAACGUAGUGUAAAUGUAAAUGUAGUGUAAAUGUAGUGUAAAUGUAAUGUAGUGUAAAUGUAGUGUAGUGUAAAUGUAAUGUAAUGUAAUGUAGUGUAGUUGUAAUGUAAUGUAGUGUAGUGUAAAUGUAAUGUAAUAUAGUGUAGUGUAAAUGUAAUAAAUGCGGCCACAGAUUCGAAUCUUAAAC